Molecule: ribosomal RNA, 253 nt
Filed under: uncultured bacterium
Lineage: Bacteria
Description: partial 16S ribosomal RNA
Rfam family: Bacterial small subunit ribosomal RNA
Source: RNAcentral
UACGUAGGGUGCGAGCGUUAUUCGGAAUUACUGGGCGUAAAGCGUGCGCAGGCGGCGCCGCACGUCGAGAGUGAAAUCCCCGAGCUUAACUUGGGAAUUGCGCUCGAAACUACGGUGCUGGAGUGUGGCAGAGGGAGGUGGAAUUCCACGUGUAGCGGUGAAAUGCGUAGAGAUGUGGAGGAACACCGAUGGCGAAGGCAGCCUCCUGGGCCAACACUGACGCUCAUGCGCGAAAGCGUGGGGAGCAAACAGG